CAUGUUUCUGAGCUUUUGUGGGAUCCCAAAGGAGAUCUACAGAUAUUUUGUUAUUUGUUUGGGGUUUUGUUUUGUUUAUGUUAAUUUUUAGGAUACACCACUUGGCAUCUGCCUCAUUCAAAGUACAGCUGGGUAUACUGAGUGAUUCAUCAACUCUGCUGGAGUACCUUGGAGCUGUGCUGGGUUUCAUGGCAGAUUCAAUAAGGAACAGAAAUGGAACAAAUCCCUUAAGGCAGCUGGAAGGUUACAUAUGUAUUUCAGGGAAAGGGAAUACUCUUCAAAAAUCAGAAUGAAGGCAGGGCCCCAGAUUAUCCUAAGAGUAGUUAAACUAUUAUAAUGUCUGGGACCUAUAGGCAACUGGCAGUGGGUUGCAACGUGCUGGAAAAGGAGAUUAGAGAUUUUAUUCAUGUUUCAGAUGGAGAAGCUGAGAUGAAUGGUUGUUGAUUUGCACCAUAUGGAGAGGUCACGGUGCCUGUGUAGUCUCACAGGCCGUGUUCACUGUGAUUACAAAUGCUGCACUUAACUUCUAGGGCAAUAUCUCACUCAAGAGAAAGCGUUUCUCUAGGUACACAACAAAGCAAGGAGCACCAACCCAACAGGACCAUUGGCUGCCCAACUUCUCAGCAUGUUGUCAAGUCCACCCACAUCUGCUCAGAUAGGCCUGAGCAUGAUCCAGGUUUCCCCAGAGAAGCUGAGCUGGCAGGAGAUUUUAGAUCAGACUUCACGUAUAGAUGACUCCCAAGACAAAAAGAGCAUUUUUGACCUGUGUUCUUAAAGGUGUUAAUGUGAUGUAAUUCCAACUCCCCUGAGUGAGAGUUUAAGGUGCUGACAAAUCUUUUCGGUGGCUCAGUUCCAAAUGUAACUGCUCUGAAGUAGGGUUACAUUAAGAUAUCAAUACUUCAUACUGAAUCUGUUUUACUAUUGAAAAUUGAAUCCAGCUGCAGGAUGGUUUCAAAACUACUUUUUUUAUAUAAGGUUUAUAAAAUUGAUCAAGAUGUGGAGGUUUUCAUUGCAUUGGUGAAAAAUUAUUAAUUCUGAGAAGAUUCACAUUUCUACAAUGCUUAGUAAUCCUCAUUAAUGUGUUUUAAUUCAGCCUAUCUUAGUUAUUUAUUAAUGAAAAAAGCAAAAUAAUAACAUUGUAGGUCAAACAAUGUUUUUGUUUGUUGUCAGUGUUGUUUUUCAGAACUUCAUGACAAAUAACUGCAAUACCAUCUAUAUUCUUGAUACAGUCAAAACCGACUUCUGAGUAUUCACAGCAGAAGUAAAUUUGAACUGGUCUGUAGCUGAGCUUUUAAUCUUGCAAAUUUUUUCCUCAAGUAGAAUCCAAAAUUUACCAAAUAAGCUGGAAAUUAUCAAGCAAUAGCAAGAAAAUGUGUUGUGUUUUGAGGACUGGAAAAAAACACAUCUAUGUUUUACUUAAAAAAAUAAACAACAACACACUUCAUCAAAAUAAAAUCUAAGCAUGGGACAUUAAUUAACUUCUCUUUUCUCUCUCUUUUUUUUUUCUUCCAAAUUUCUCUGUUAGAACUCUGCGUUUUUUGCAGUGAACAGAACUUGCAAUGUUACUUCUUUGAGACUGGUAGGAAAUACAUUGUAUUCAACAUUUGCCCUUUGCAGUGCAUGGACCCUUUCAAGUUUCAUAAGGUGGCUUUCACUCUUUGCUGCAGUUUCUGAGGUGUGCCUUCCAUGAAAUGAGGUAGAAAUGCAGAACAAAUCUUCUGAAUGGAAAAACUGGGUUGACAAGUCUGACAUUUUUGUGGUUUAUAUUACUUCUUAGUAAAAACAAAUAAGCAAACCCCAACCACAUUAGGCAGAGAGAAAGAGGAUAAUUUGUGCAAUGUCUUCCAUCUUCCAGCAUUUUUAAUUACCCAGGUUUGGUUCUUCAUGUCUUAUUUUCCUAGGCUGAAGAAAGCAUGUUAAUGGUCUUUACUACAUGGAGCUAUAAAUUCUUCUA
Long non-coding RNA from Meleagris gallopavo (turkey), 1954 nucleotides. NCBI's taxonomy places the organism in Eukaryota, Metazoa, Chordata, Aves, Galliformes, Phasianidae. The record is from Ensembl.